Molecule: long non-coding RNA, 349 nt
Filed under: Cricetulus griseus (Chinese hamster)
Lineage: Eukaryota; Metazoa; Chordata; Mammalia; Rodentia; Cricetidae
Description: lncRNA (ENSCGRG00015031170.1)
Source: RNAcentral
GCUGGUUAUCAGUCAUUGCUUCCUUUGCUAGGGAGAUGCAAGAUGUCCCAGCAAGUUAGAAAUAGUUUCACACUGUCAUGGCCACCUGUCAUGGACCUGUCUGCCCCGACUAUCUCCUUCAGAUGGACUGAAUUGCCACGAGGUGUGGUCCUAAACACAUCCUCCCUCCCUUAACUGUGAGGCAUUUGUCAUAUCUAGUGGCCCAGUUCACUUCCUGUUGUCUUCAAGUUGCAAGAUGUAGAACCCUCAGCUAUCUCUCCAGCACCAUAUCUGCCUACAAGCUGCUAAGUCCCGCCAUGAUGAUAAUGGACGGAACCUCUGAACUUUGCUCAGGAGCCUGAGGCAGGAG